UACGUAGGUGGCGAGCGUUGUCCGGAAUAACUGGGCGUAAAGGGAGCGUAGGUGGUGAUUUAAGUUAAAUGUGAAAGCCCAAGGCUCAACCUUGGAAUUGCAUUUAAUACUGGAUCACUAGAGUGCAGGAGGGGUAAGCGGAAUUCCUAGUGUAGCGGUGGAAUGCGUAGAUAUUAGGAGGAACACCAGAGGCGAAGGCGGCUUACUGGACUGUAACUGACACUGAGGCUCGAAAGCGUGGGGAGCAAACAGG
This 253-nucleotide ribosomal RNA is filed under the name uncultured bacterium. RNAcentral describes it as "partial 16S ribosomal RNA". It matches the Rfam family "Bacterial small subunit ribosomal RNA", at positions 524 to 776 of the family's 1533-position model. The record is from RNAcentral.